This is a non-coding RNA of Pelobates cultripes (western spadefoot toad), 202 nucleotides long. Lineage: Eukaryota; Metazoa; Chordata; Amphibia; Anura; Pelobatidae. The record is from the annotation of a GenBank genome assembly.
CAGCUGUAUAAUACAUCAUAUGUUGCUCAGCUAGGUCAUUAGAGUACAGCAAUACGCCCGUGUGUACCUUUACUAAGUAUAUGACAGCUUUGAAGGGGCACAUUUGAGACACAUCCAUAUAAAUUAGAAUUUUUGUUGCUAGGUCCAUGCCCCACUUUUGAAUUUUUUUUUAGUAGGUUGUGUUUUCCAAUUACUUCACAAA